CCUAACGGCGUGCCUCGGCAUCAGCG
RNAcentral lists this non-coding RNA (26 nucleotides) under Arabidopsis thaliana (thale cress). The record is from RNAcentral. Lineage: Eukaryota; Viridiplantae; Streptophyta; Magnoliopsida; Brassicales; Brassicaceae.